UUACUGCAGUGAUGAAUUAUGAAGUUUAUUCACAUGUCAGACUUCAGAGAUUUUCGAAUCAAUGAGAAGAGAAUUUCAUUUUCUGAGCAGUUG
Molecule: small nucleolar RNA, 93 nt
Organism: Magnolia sinica
Lineage: Eukaryota; Viridiplantae; Streptophyta; Magnoliopsida; Magnoliales; Magnoliaceae
Product: small nucleolar RNA R64/Z200 family
Exons: 1
Source: RefSeq, a predicted model, not a curated record